GAGCGAGAGAGAGAGAGAGAGAGAGAGAGGGAGAGAAAGAGAGAGAGAGAGAGAGAGAGAGGGAGAGAAAGAGAGAGAGAGAGAGAGAAUACAUCCCAUACUGUGUACUCCAUCUUGCUUUUAGGACAAGAUCAGGACAGAAACAUCUUGGCACAAAUACCUUCAUUAAAUGGCAGUGAGCAUCACAUUAAACUCUAAUCUCUCUCUCUCUCACAUGUAUGAUGAUCUUAAUAUGGUUUAAUAUGGCAUGACAAGCUUCAGAGUGUUUGCGUAGCUACGGGCUCUCCAGCUGGAGAUUAGAGUGACAGGCCCAGACGCUCACAAGAUCUGCUGUAAAGAUACAUGAUUUGACUUCAGUACAUCAUGGCUCAAAGAUCCCCGAUCCCUGAGUGUGAAUCUGUGUAGACCUGUGGUGCGGGUGCAAGUGUGGAUCUGCUGCAGAACCUUUAAACACCCCUGGAGGCCUCGUGGUGGUCCUGUUCUCCUGAUAGAUGUAGUAUAGCAGUUGGACAACUGUCGGUUAUAAAUGCGCCAUGUGGUACCCUAACAAUGUCCAAUGAAGAUCGAUUAAAAGGACUUUUGUUUGGAGCUCCAUGUCUGGUGAGAGAUGGCUGGAGGUGCAGAUGGGACACUUUUUUUCACGUCAACUGGGGAAAUUCAUCGAUGAAUUUGACACACUACUCUCCACUAUCCCAGAUGAUGGAACUCCUCUUCUGGUCCUUGGUGAUUUCAACAUUCAUCUAGACAAGCCACAUGCAGCUGACUUUCUUGCUCUCCUUCCCACAUUUGACCUCAAGCAGUUCAUCACACCAGCAACCCACAAAGCCGAACAACCUCCUGGACACCAAGCAGUCUGGCUUCAAGAGCAACCACUCCACGGAGACUGCUCUGCUUUCCGUCACUGAAGCCUAACGACUAGCAAGAGCAACCUCUAGAUCAUCUGUCCUCAUCCUACUUGACCUCACUGCUGCUUUCGACACUGUGAACCAUCAGAUCCUUCUGUCAACUCUCUCCAGCCUGGACAUCACUGGAACGGUUCUGCGCUGGGUGGAAUCAUAUCUCUCUGACAGAUCCUUCAAGGUGUCAUGGAGGGGAGGUAUUUCUGAAACUCAGCAACUCACAACUGGCGUUCCACAGGGGUCAGUUCUGGGUCCACUCCUCUUUUCUAUCUACACUACGUCUCUAGGGCAGGUGAUUGAGUCUCAUGGCUUCUCAUAUCAUUGCUAUGCUGAUGACACCCAGCUCCAUUUGUCCUUCCAGCCUGACGAUCCAUCCGUCUCUGCACGCAUCUCUGCUUGCCUUUCGGACAUCUCGGUCUGGAUGAAGGAAAACCAUCUUAAACUUAACCUGGCAAAAUCUGAGCUUCUCGUCAUCCCAGCCUGUCCCUCAAUCAACCACAACCUCACUGUACAGCUUGGUUCACUCACACUCAUGCCAACCAGGACAGCCAGGAACCUGCAAGGUCCUGUAGGUUCAUCCUGUACAACAUCAAGAAAAUCCGACCCUACAUCACUGAACAGGCUACACAGAUUCUAGUCCAGGCUCUUGUUAUCUCUAAACUGGACUACUGCAACUCACUGCUUUCAGGCCUCCCAGCCAGCUCCAUCAAACCCCUUGAGAUGAUUCAGAAUGCUGCAGCGCGCCUCGUCUUCAAUCAGUCCAAGAGAACCCAUGUCACACCCCUCUUCAUCUCCCUCUACUGGCUUCCUGUACCCGCCCACAUCAAGUCUAAGGCCUUGAUGCUCACCUACAAGACCUUGUCAGGAACAGCACCCUCCUACCUCAACUCUCUCCUGAAGGCCUACGUUCCCUCUCGCAAUCUGCGAUCUAUUAGCGACCGACGUUUAGCAGUUCCAACUCAGCGUGGUGCAAGGUCCCUUUCAAGAACCUUCACACUAACUGUUCCGCAGUGGUGGAAUGCACUUCCAAUCUCAAUCCGGACCGCAGAAUCUCUCACCAUCUUCAAAAAACAGCUAAAGACCCACCUCUUCCGUGAACACCUAACCAACUCAUAAUAAUAAAUAAAUAAAUAAUAAUAAAAAAAUGCACUUACACCUCUACUCUGCUCUUUGCUUCUUCUGGAAUUCAAUUAAUAGAUCUUGUAUGGUAGCACUUCUUGUAUUGUUCUCUGCUUGAUAUCGCGUUGCUUGUAUCUUUCUCAUUUGUAAGUCGCUUUGGAUAAAAGCGUCUGCUAAGUGAAUAAAUGUAAUGUAAUGUAAUGCUCACUAUCCCUCCAUCUAUCUAUCCUCCUCUACCUGCCUCUUCACUAUCCCUCCAUCCAGCCUCUUCUACAUCAUUAAAGCUCUGCGUGUAGGCUGAUCAAUCGAUUUAUUUUACUUAACAUAUAUUUUUACACGGGUUUUAAUAUCAACCAAUCACAUUCGAGGAAGCCACCGUGACUUCCAGUAAUCCCGCCCACUGGUGAAGCGGUCAGCUGAAAACUUUUGACCCACAUGAGCUCAAUCCGGUGCAGCUGGAAAUCCUCUCAGUCUUUCUCUCAGUCUAUCAGUCCAUCUGUGCUUCCUUUGGACCCGCUGUGAUCCUGAGAACACUACCACUGCAGACAGCUUUGUGUCCCUGUUUCCUUCCUGUCUGUCUGCCUGCCUCAACCUGUCUCACUUUCUUAUUUGGUCUCUGGCUCUGGUUCCGUCUCUCUCACUCUGUGUCUGGAUGACGGGCGCAUAGGAAGCUCCAACUUCCUGAUUUCUGUUUGUGCUUCCUGGCUUCCAGACAUUCCUUCUCUAUCUCCAUCUCUCUGUCUCUCUCUCUGUCUCUCUCUCUCUCUGCCUGUCUGUCUCUCUAACUGUAAUUGGCUCUAAAAAAAUUCCUGCGUCAGUCCCGAGACACAAAGCAGAUUGGGACUUCAUGAUAAUUUUGGAUUCCAAUAACCUCGACAGCAUUCGAAAGAACACGUGAUUAGAUCUGGUUUCCUAAUUUAAUAGUAAUCUGCAAAGCAACCACAGCUGAUUCUAAAUUAAUAAAUAAAUCAGACAUCCUUUGACCUAUUUCCUCACUCAUGUCCUGUUAUAGCUGUGACCUCACAGGAAGUGACUAAAAUGGUGGCUAAUUGGUCAGUUAGACAGACGAUAUUAAAGCUGAUGAUACAGUUCAGGAAUUUCACUAGCUCACUGUCUAUAUACAAACAGAUAUAGAAAGUGUCAGAAAACGAUGAAUCAGCGGAAAUUGUAAAGUAUGCGUGUAAACAGCGGUGGACAAAUCAGAAAUAUAUUAGCUAGCCCACUAAAGUGCUGCCCAGUUUCAUGUUUUUUUGUGGUGUACAGCUGUAUUUACAUCAUUCAAGACAAUCAAAACAACGUACAUGGCACUUGUUACUAAACAACCUACUUAGUACAUACAUGGUAUUUGUUACUAAACAACCUACUUAGUUUUAAUCAAUCAGGGUCAUCAAACGUUUUAUUUAGAGCUGCUCAUACUGAGUUUUAUG
Long non-coding RNA from Ictalurus punctatus (channel catfish), 3445 nucleotides. RefSeq lists it as uncharacterized. The transcript has 4 exons. Lineage: Eukaryota; Metazoa; Chordata; Actinopteri; Siluriformes; Ictaluridae. The record is from RefSeq and is a predicted model, not a curated record.